Molecule: unclassified non-coding RNA, 271 nt
Filed under: Leptospora rubella
Lineage: Eukaryota; Fungi; Ascomycota; Dothideomycetes
Description: partial internal transcribed spacer region
Rfam family: Eukaryotic small subunit ribosomal RNA (bases 1-46)
Source: RNAcentral
AAGUCGUAACAAGGUUUCCGUAGGUGAACCUGCGGAAGGAUCAUUAUGAAUCAGUAGCUUGCUACUAUGCUGGGGUAGACGGGAAAGUCCUAGCUGAAAAGCUAGAGUGCCGGUACCUGUACUCCUAUCAUACCCUUGUCUUUUGAGUACUUAUGUUUCCUUGGUAGGCUUGCCUGCCAAAAGGACAAACUUGAAACCUAUUUAAAUAUCAAUCAGCGUCUGAUAAUAAAUUAAUGAAUUACAACUUUCAACAACGGAUCUCUUGGUUCUG